UUAGUUGAGUUGAGUUGAGUUGUUGAGUUAGUAUUUUCUAAGUUGUUUUUACAUUUCAUUUCUUAAAAAUGCAUUCUGAGGUAAGUGAUUAUGAAAAGAAUCUUUCAACAGUGCAAAAUGGGUAAGAUAAGAAGAUGUUUCAUGAUAAUAUUUAGUAGCAGUAGUUGAGGAAACAAAGUAUGCCAAUAUUUUACUUGGCAAUUUGUAAUAAGAAGCAGCCUUUUGGUUUGUCAACUGUUCAUUAGUAGCUAGAGCUGGUGGUUGAAUUGGUGAAGAGUAUUUUAUCAUAAGGUCAAUUAUUAAGGGCUUAUGUCCCAUGCAAUAUGAUGUCCUUGUAACUUUUUCCAAUUAUAUAUAGUUUUCAUCUUCUAGAUUGUAUUUGUAUUUUAUGGAGAUCUGACCUGGCUAAAAUGUAGUUGUGUGAUACCUAGCUUGGGGGUGGGAGUGGUAUUUCAGCUUCACCUACCUUAUUGGUGUGGAUAGGACCUAAAAGAGAAGCCAAUACAAUGUUAUUAUCCCCUGGACCAUUUUCUAUCUAGUAUGUGUUCUCUAUACCUUGGAAAUGCAUUGCCAUUUCCCUUGUUCGUCAAAGCUGCAUCUGUGUGGAUCAACCCUUGGAGUUUGUCAAAUAAAUUAGGUGUUUUUCUUUUAGUUUUUUCCCCCUAGAGUAUUGUGGGGGUGUUUAUGGUUUCAUCAUCAAUUGUUGUAUAUUCUUUUUUUUUUAUGGGGAAUUAUUUGUUUAUUUGCACUCGCCAAAUGCAUUCUUAAUAUCAUCCACUUCUGCGGAAGAAAGAAUUAGAUUUCAUCUUCAUGCGGUCUUUCAGAAUCAGUUGGCUAGUUUUAUGCUCCUUCUCUACCAAUUUAUUUUAAAGAAUGUUUCAUUUCCCUUGUUAAAGUUUCUAGGUGUGCAGCCGGUGGCAGGCUAACACUUGUUCCUGAUUUCAUAUUAAAGAAUUAUUUAUUUAAUUGCACUAUCUGAGUGCAUUCACUGUCUCAUCCACUUCACUGACUUACUGAGUGGAUAAUAUUUUGUGAAAGAGUUUAGAUUUAUAUUCAUGCAGUCUUUCACAAUCAGUUGGCCACCUUGUGAUGCUACUGAAAUGUUCUAUGCACCUUUUCCUGUUAUUUUAUUUUAAAGAA
RNAcentral lists this unclassified non-coding RNA (1140 nucleotides) under Hevea brasiliensis (rubber tree). Lineage: Eukaryota; Viridiplantae; Streptophyta; Magnoliopsida; Malpighiales; Euphorbiaceae. The record is from RNAcentral.